This 299-nucleotide long non-coding RNA is filed under the name Carica papaya (papaya). Its description in RNAcentral is "long non-coding RNA (CPAP_LNC011038)". The record is from RNAcentral. Lineage: Eukaryota; Viridiplantae; Streptophyta; Magnoliopsida; Brassicales; Caricaceae.
CUUUUUCAAUUUUUCUUUAGUUAGGAUUUUUUUUUUAAUUUCACAUUUAAUCAGUCUAAAUAAUUCAGUCUAAAUAAUUCUCAGUCCAUUGGGUCUGUUUUUUGGUUGUCUCCUCAUAGAGUUCCAAUUGUUUAGGUUUACUGAUCAUAAUUUAGGUUCUGCUUUUCCAUCGAAAUUGGGCCAAUGUCCCUUCAAAUUUCAAAAUUCAUAAUUUUCAUAAAAUAAAUGUUCUUUUUGAAUUUUAAUCCGGUUGAGAUUUAGAAAUACUUACACUCCUACAUGUCUUUUUGGAUCAGUCU